Molecule: long non-coding RNA, 219 nt
Organism: Bufo bufo (common toad)
Lineage: Eukaryota; Metazoa; Chordata; Amphibia; Anura; Bufonidae
Exons: 3
Source: RefSeq, a predicted model, not a curated record
CUGGGAGGAGGCAGUCACGUUAGGAGCUGGGAGCACAACCAUAUGCAGAGAUUCUAUGGGAAGAAGGCAGCUCACAGGAACGAGAUCCAGAAGCGACAGCACGAGCGGUACGUCCGGGCAGAAGAGGCCGGGGAACAGCCCCCAGCUCCGCUGCUGGAACAGACCAGGAAGAUUACCCAGAAUGCAUUGCUGAAGGCUUCCCCAUAUAACAGCUGCUGC